This 390-nucleotide ribosomal RNA is filed under the name Clostridioides sp. ZZV14-6105. RNAcentral describes it as "partial 23S ribosomal RNA". It matches the Rfam family "Bacterial large subunit ribosomal RNA", at positions 1 to 391 of the family's 2925-position model. Lineage: Bacteria; Bacillati; Bacillota; Clostridia; Peptostreptococcales; Peptostreptococcaceae. The record is from RNAcentral.
GGUCAAGUUAUUAAGGGUGCAGGGCGGAUGCCUUGGCACUAGGAGCCGAUGAAGGACGCGAUAAGCUGCGAUAAGCUUCGGGGAGUUGCACGUAAACUUUGAUCCGAAGAUUUCCGAAUGAGGAAACUCACUUAGAGUAAUGUCUAAGUAUCAUUAAGUGAAUACAUAGCUUAAUGAGGGGAACUCAGGGAACUGAAACAUCUAAGUACCUGAAGGAAGAGAAAGAAAUUCGAUUCCGUAAGUAGCGGCGAGCGAACGCGGAAUAGCCCAAACCAAUAAAGUUUUCUUUAUUGGGGUUGCGGACAUAUCUUAAACGAAGAGGUAUCGUAAUUGAAGAGGUUUGGAAAGACCCACCACAGAAGGUAAUAGUCCUGUAUGUCAAACGAGAAA